Molecule: ribosomal RNA, 253 nt
Filed under: uncultured bacterium
Lineage: Bacteria
Description: partial 16S ribosomal RNA
Rfam family: Bacterial small subunit ribosomal RNA
Source: RNAcentral
UACAGAGGGUGCAAGCGUUGUUCGGAAUUAUUGGGCGUAAAGCGCGUGUAGGCGGCUUAGCAAGUCGGGCGUGAAAGCCCUCGGCUCAACCGAGGAAGUGCACCCGAAACUGCUGAGCUUGAGUGCCGGAGAGGAACGCGGAAUUCCAGGUGUAGCGGUGAAAUGCGUAGAUAUCUGGAGGAACACCGGUGGCGAAGGCGGCGUUCUGGACUGCAACUGACACUGAGGCGCGAAAGCGUGGGGAGCAAACAGG